Long non-coding RNA from Homo sapiens (human), 1290 nucleotides. Ensembl annotates it as long intergenic non-protein coding RNA 1315. NCBI's taxonomy places the organism in Eukaryota, Metazoa, Chordata, Mammalia, Primates, Hominidae. The record is from Ensembl.
UCGCCCGCCCAGAGCCCCGUGGCCAGCGGCCGGCCGCGGGGCCUUUUUGUCCUGAGGGCCAGAGAAAGGGAGAAGGGGGUGGGGGGACAGCCACGUGGCCGCAGGAGGAUUUACAACAUUUUCUUUCGCCAUCGAUGUUAUCGCAAAAUGUGUGAGAGAAGCGGCUGCGCAGCCCGGACGGGAGCGUGAGGGUGCGGGCCAGGUAAGCAGCCCCGGCGGUUUCGCCGCAUACGGGACUGCGGGGCGACCGCGGGCACCAGCCACGCGCAGCGGCUCCGCGGGGUCUCGGCCGGGUCCGCGCUCUGAAGGAUCUCGAGAGCCAUGGAUGGUGCAGGCGGGACCCUCGAGCUGCAGCAUCUCCGGUGACCCGGGGUUGCCGAGGAGGUGGAGACCAGCACAGGUGGUCCGGCCCGGGCGCCUCCGAAUCCGGGGGUGGUCAAGACGGAUCCCCAAGGCUGAGGUCGGCAGUCCCGGGGACUCGCAGCUGUUGAGCCUGUGGAGACGCGGCCCCGUGACCGAGGCACCCUUCAGCAACCCGGGGGCAGCGUUCCAGAGACUGAACUUCUCAAAUCACUGCUUCAACAGCUUUUAAAAAUCUGGACCUAGUUACUCCUGUCAUCUAUGUGUAAAGAUUUAGAAAAAAAAUCCCAAACCCAAGGGUGGGCAGCCGCGAGGAUGUACAGCUCCUGGCAGUGUGCGCUCACCCGGAGACCUGAGGUCAAAGCCCAAAUGCUGAGCACCUCCUGGGAGGCGGGAGCAUGGUCUGCUCAGUGCCAGACAUCUGGAUAUUGAGAAAACAUCUGGGUAGCUGGGGUUUUCAGGUUUCUGCCUGACAUUUAAUAUCACAAACAUUGAGCCUGCUCCUGUCCCCCACCAGCCACGCGGCUUCUCCUCCCAAACAUACCCAGCUCCUUCCCCUGCCUUCCUGACGGGUAAGAAACAUCCAUUCUUUCCAAUUCCCCAGCGUUUUCCCCCUACCGGAAAUCUGAUGGGCUUAUGACAUCAUGGCUGGCUGCUGAGCGAUGAAGUGGAUGCCACAAAGAAAUCCGACAUAUCAGAUAGAUUCUGAAAUCGGUUUCCCUCCAGCUGUAGUAACAGGCGUGAAGUCAGGAGAAUUUGAGCUUUGUUUAAAAAAUAAAUAAAUAAAUAAAUAAACCAUAACAAAGUCUUGCCCUGUAUUAAAUGCAAUUUUCUUAAAAACAAGCAAACCUUUUGGACAUCAUUUUAUUUUAAUAGAAAUGCUGAGUUUUAUGAAACUAAAGUGGCUAAUAAAUCAGACCUGAAGCUUUG